GAUGAACGCUAGCUACAGGCUUAACACAUGCAAGUCGCGGGGCAGCAUGGGGGUUGCUUGCAAUCCCCGAUGGCGACCGGCGCACGGGUGAGUAACGCGUAUCCAACCUGCCCUUCACCACGGGAUAACCCGGCGAAAGUCGGACUAAUACCGUAUGUUGUCCAUUGACGGCAUCCGAUUUGGACGAAAGGUUUGGCGGUGAAGGAUGGGGAUGCGGCCGAUUAGCUGGACGGGGGGGUGCCGGCCCACCGUGGCGACGCUCGGGAGGGGUUCUGAGAGGAAGGUACCCCACAAUGGAACCGAGACACGGUCCAGACCCCUACGGGAGGCAGCAGUGAGGAAGAUUGGGCAAUGGGCGUAAGCCUGAACCAGCCAAGUAGCGUGCAGGAUGACGGCCCUAUGGGUUGUAAACUGCUUUUAAGCGGGGAUAAAGUGGCCCACGUGUGGGUUUUUGCAGGUACCGCAUGAAUAAGGACCGGCUAAGUCCGUG
This 490-nucleotide ribosomal RNA is filed under the name uncultured bacterium. Its description in RNAcentral is "partial 16S ribosomal RNA". It matches the Rfam family "Bacterial small subunit ribosomal RNA", at positions 28 to 507 of the family's 1533-position model. The record is from RNAcentral.